RNAcentral lists this long non-coding RNA (757 nucleotides) under Crocodylus porosus (Australian saltwater crocodile). Its description in RNAcentral is "lncRNA (ENSCPRG00005018168.1)". Lineage: Eukaryota; Metazoa; Chordata; Crocodylia; Crocodylidae. The record is from RNAcentral.
AUGCCGCAGUCUGGAAUCUCUCACGUCACCUGCCCGCCCCGCGCAGCUCGGCUCAAUGGCCUUGAGCCAAGCCAAGAACGCCCCGCGCUGCGCCAAUGGGAAGCGGCAAGAGCAUUCUGGCCCCGCCCCUUGGACGCAGGCCCACGUAGCUCACACAUCACCCUGCUUGGCAACAGCCUACGCAUGCGUGCUACAUCCCGAGUCGUGAAGAAGCAGCCGCCAUCGCGCUCAAACAAAAUGGCGGCGGAAGCCGCGCCCGAAGUAAAGAAGGGCAGCGGCCAUCACGCCCCCAUCCCGCAGAGAGGGCCCGGGGCCAACACCUGCCCCACAGCAAAGCCCCCGGAGAGAAAGCCGCCGCGGCAGCAGCUCCCUCCGCCGCACCCAGGACCCCCCCCGGGGCUUGCCCGGCCCCCGCACGAACCUGGGCUGCGCCGGUGUGCGUGCAGGCCGAGGCCGGACGGGCGAGGCGAGCGCUACGAGCGAGUCCUAAGCAACCCUCGAUCCCUCCUCGUCGACGUCUGGCUCCCGACUGGCCAACGCGCUCGGUUUUAAAGGAAGACUGCAGUCAAGAUAGUUAGCGAUAUCCUGAAGCGGAAGAAAUCUGGAAAUUAAAAAUCAUACAGUGCAGUUGUUUCUAUUUGGCUGUAGUUACCGUGCAGUUGGCUUUUCAGAGAAGAGCACAUAAGAGGCUAGAGCAUGGCAAUGCCGUGACAAGACAAAUCCAUUACCACUUUGAAUAAACCCUGAAAGACAGGCA